GAUGAAGAACGCAGCGAAAUGCGAUAAGUAAUGUGAAUUGCAGAAUUCAAUGAAUCAUCGAAUCUUUGAACGCACAUUGCGCCCGCCAGUAUUCUGGCGGGCAUGCCUGUUCGAGCGUCAUUUCAACCCUCAGGCCCCCAGUGCCUGGUGUUGGGGAUCGGCCCAGCCUUCCUGUAAGGCCGCCGGCCCCGAAAUCUAGUGGCGGUCUCGCUGUAGUCCUCCUCUGCGUAGUAGCACAACCUCGCAGUUGGAACGCGGCGGUGGCCAUGCCGUUAAACACCCCACUUCUGAAAGUUGACCUCGGAUCAGGUAGUAAUACCCGCUGAACUUAAGCAUAUCAAUAAGCGGAGGA
This 352-nucleotide unclassified non-coding RNA is filed under the name soil metagenome. RNAcentral's name for it is "partial contains 5.8S ribosomal RNA, internal transcribed spacer 2, and large subunit ribosomal RNA". The stretch from base 1 to 120 matches the Rfam family "5.8S ribosomal RNA", at positions 35 to 154 of the family's 154-position model. The record is from RNAcentral.